GGGGUCGCUUGGUUUUGACAGCUUGUAUGUAGAUUUGUAAGCAUGUCGGAGGUUGUGAGACGGUUCCGUUAAAAACUAACUCUCGUUGCCAAUAGAUGGCGAAACUUCUUAUGCAUUCGCAGCUUAAUGUUGCGGAUUCCGAGACUUAAUCAAGGAUUAACGUCUUGGAUGUUUCCUCGGAAGCUCUUCUUUCCGGCGUCCGUUCCGAAGCAUCACAAAGGGGAAGAUAGCAAUCACAUAGCUUUGGUGUGAAAGUGAAAUUUUAAAAGCUAAGGUUUAAAGUAGGUUUGCCUUCUACCGGCUUUAAAUCGAAAAAACAAAGUAAGGCUAAACAUGUAGAAAGCACUUUUGCAACAGGUUUGGACGCGGGUUCGACUCCCGCCGACUCCACUC
RNAcentral lists this transfer-messenger RNA (393 nucleotides) under Bacteroidales. Its description in RNAcentral is "DUOL01 sp012838875 Standard tmRNA". It matches the Rfam family "transfer-messenger RNA". Rfam says of the family: Bacterial tmRNA, also known as 10Sa RNA or SsrA, is named for its dual tRNA and mRNA-like properties. Lineage: Bacteria; Pseudomonadati; Bacteroidota; Bacteroidia. RNAcentral also lists the same sequence under 1 other name. The record is from RNAcentral.